This 286-nucleotide ribosomal RNA is filed under the name Ornithodoros coriaceus. RNAcentral describes it as "partial 16S ribosomal RNA". The stretch from base 139 to 286 matches the Rfam family "Bacterial large subunit ribosomal RNA", at positions 2473 to 2620 of the family's 2925-position model. The record is from RNAcentral. Lineage: Eukaryota; Metazoa; Arthropoda; Arachnida; Ixodida; Argasidae.
UAAUUUAUAUUUUAAUUAAGAUUAUUAGAAAUUUAUUUUUUAGUUAUGACCGGGGUGAUUUUUAAAGAUUAUUAAUCUUUAAAAUUUUUUAAUAAAAAAGUUCCAUUAGUAGUGAUUUUUUGAUAAAAAUACUCUAGGGAUAACAGCGUUAUUAUUUUGGAUAGUUCAUAUAGAUAAAAUAGUUUGCGACCUCGAUGUUGGAUUAGGAUUCUUUUAUGAUGAAGAAGUUAUAAGGGAGAAGUUUGCUCAACUUUUAAAGUCCUACUUGAUCUGAGUUCAGCCCGGG